GAUGGAUGACACCUCCUUAACUCAUGCCGCUGUGCCUUUCACCCCCACUCCCACAAUUGUAUGAGUUGAGUACAGAGUAUCAGACU
Chrysemys picta bellii (western painted turtle) is the source of this 86-nucleotide microRNA precursor. NCBI's taxonomy places the organism in Eukaryota, Metazoa, Chordata, Testudines, Emydidae. The record is from Ensembl.